This 183-nucleotide ribosomal RNA is filed under the name uncultured bacterium. RNAcentral's name for it is "partial 16S ribosomal RNA". It matches the Rfam family "Bacterial small subunit ribosomal RNA", at positions 1318 to 1500 of the family's 1533-position model. The record is from RNAcentral.
ACAUGAAGUUGGAGUUGCUAGUAAUCGCGGAUCAGCAUGCCGCGGUGAAUACGUUCCCGGGCCUUGUACACACCGCCCGUCACACCAUGGGAGUUGGGAGCGCCCGAAGCCGGUGAGGUAACCGAGAGGAGCCAGCCGUCGAAGGUGAGACCAAUGACUGGGGUGAAGUCGUAACAAGGUAAC